This 75-nucleotide transfer RNA is filed under the name bacterium. Its description in RNAcentral is "tRNA-Arg". It matches the Rfam family "tRNA". From Rfam's summary of the family: Transfer RNA (tRNA) molecules are approximately 80 nucleotides in length. Their secondary structure includes four short double-helical elements and three loops (D, anti-codon, and T loops). Further hydrogen bonds mediate the characteristic L-shaped molecular structure. tRNAs have two regions of fundamental functional importance: the anti-codon, which is responsible for specific mRNA codon recognition, and the 3' end, to which the tRNAs corresponding amino acid is attached (by aminoacyl-tRNA synthetases). tRNAs cope with the degeneracy of the genetic code in two manners: having more than one tRNA (with a specific anti-codon) for a particular amino acid; and 'wobble' base-pairing, i.e. permitting non-standard base-pairing at the 3rd anti-codon position. The record is from RNAcentral.
GCACCCGUAGUUUAAUGGAUAGAAUAGUGGCUUGCGGAGCCAUUGGUCCAAGUUCGAUUCUUGGCGGGUGCACCA